This 253-nucleotide ribosomal RNA is filed under the name uncultured bacterium. RNAcentral describes it as "partial 16S ribosomal RNA". It matches the Rfam family "Bacterial small subunit ribosomal RNA", at positions 524 to 776 of the family's 1533-position model. The record is from RNAcentral.
UACGUAGGGUGCGAGCGUUGUCCGGAAUUAUUGGGCGUAAAGAGCUUGUAGGCGGUUUGUCGCGUUUGCUGUGAAAAUCCGGGGCUCAACCCCGGACUUGCAGUGGGUACGGGCAGACUAGAGUGUGGUAGGGGAGACUGGAAUUCCUGGUGUAGCGGUGGAAUGCGCAGAUAUCAGGAGGAACACCGAUGGCGAAGGCAGGUCUCUGGGCCACUACUGACGCUGAGAAGCGAAAGCAUGGGGAGCGAACAGG